GAUGAACGCUGGCGGCGUGCCUAAUACAUGCAAGUCGAGCGAACAGACGAGGAGCUUUCUCCUCUGACGUUAGCGGCGGACGGGUGAGUAACACGUGGAUAACCUACCUAUAAGACUGGGAUAACUUCGGGAAACCGGAGCUAAUACCGGAUAAUAUAUUGAACCGCAUGGUUCAAUAGUGAAAGACGGUUUUGCUGUCACUUAUAGAUGGAUCCGCGCCGCAUUAGCUAGUUGGUAAGGUAACGGCUUACCAAGGCAACGAUGCGUAGCCGACCUGAGAGGGUGAACCGCCACACUGGAACUGAGACACGGUACAGACUCCUACGGGAGGCAGCAGUAGGGAAUCUUCCGCAAAGGGCGAAAGCCUGACGGAGCAACGCCGCGUGAGUGAUGAAGGUCUUCUGAUCGUAAAACUCUGUUAUUAGGGAAGAACAAAUGUGUAAGUAACUAUGCACGUCUUGACGGUACCUAAUCAGAAAGCCACGGCUAACUACGUG
This 497-nucleotide ribosomal RNA is filed under the name uncultured bacterium. RNAcentral describes it as "partial 16S ribosomal RNA". It matches the Rfam family "Bacterial small subunit ribosomal RNA", at positions 28 to 507 of the family's 1533-position model. The record is from RNAcentral.